AUGAAGGCUUCGAUGAAAAUGUUGGUCAGCAGCCGGUUGCCUCAACAGAUGAUGAAAAUGAUGGUCAACAGCCGGUUGCAUCAGAUGAGGAUUUUGACGAGGUUCCAAAUGAUGAUGGUCAACAGCCGCAUGAUUUUGACGAUGAUCCAAAAUAUCCUCCAAAUAAUGAUUCAAGUGAGGCUCCAAAUGGUGAUCCAAGUGAGGCUCUAA
This 210-nucleotide ribosomal RNA is filed under the name Triticum aestivum (bread wheat). RNAcentral describes it as "partial small subunit ribosomal RNA". Lineage: Eukaryota; Viridiplantae; Streptophyta; Magnoliopsida; Poales; Poaceae. The record is from RNAcentral.